ACCACAAUUUCCCAAUACAUUCAAUGUCACAAAUCUUCCCAAGGACACUGUCCCGUGCUCUGAGCCCCAAUCUCCCCUCAUGCCUCUCACCACAGAUCUUGCUAUAUAGCAGGAGACAUGCAAAUAGAGCCCUCCCUCUGCUGAUGAAAACCAGCCCAGCCCUGACCCUGCAGCUCUGGGAGAGGAGCCCAGCCCUGGGAUUUUCAGGUGUUUGCAUUUGGUAAUCACAACUGAACACUGAGACUGAACUCACCAUGGAGUUUGCGCUGAGCUGGGUUUUCCUUCUUGCUAUUUUGAAAGGUGUCCAGUGUGAGGUGCAGCUGGUGGAGUCUGGGGGAGGUUUGGUUCAGCCUGGGGGGUCUUUGAGACUCUCCUGUGCAGCCUCUGGAUUCACCUUCAGUAGUUAUGCCAUGGGCUGGGUCCGUCAGGCUCCGGGGAAGGGGCUGGAGUGGGUCUCAACUAUUGGUACUGCUGGUAGCACGUACUACGCAGACUCCGUGAAGGGCCGAUUCACCAUCUCCAGAGACAACGCCAAGAACUCGCUGUAUCUGCAGAUGAACAGCCUGAGAGCCGAGGACACGGCCGUGUAUUACUGUGCGAGAGACACAGUGAGGGGAAGUCAGUGUGAGCCGGAACACAAACCUCCUGCAGGAACGCUGGUAGGAAAUGAGCUGCAGGGGGCGCUCAGGAGCCACUGA
Non-coding RNA from Callithrix jacchus (white-tufted-ear marmoset), 698 nucleotides. The record is from the annotation of a RefSeq genome assembly. NCBI's taxonomy places the organism in Eukaryota, Metazoa, Chordata, Mammalia, Primates, Cebidae.